AUCAGGUACGAAGGAUUGCUCGUAAACUUGAACAAGAGAUGGAGGAAAUGAAAGGAUCAUUCGAGAAAUCUUAGACAAUUGUCACUGAUGGACCCUCGUGUGAUGAAACAACAUUCAAGCGGUUCCAAACCAUCACGAUAGGAUUUGAGAAACAAGAGAAAGUGAGAACUCCAGGGUUUUUCCUGAAAAUUUUAUAAUCCCAAAAUAUCCCGUUCAUUCCCGUUGUACAAGCGGCCGUAAAAGGAUUCGAUGCUGUGUAGAACUUUGUAUUUCGACUUACAACUGCUUCAUAAUACUCUAUUGCGAACCUCGAUAUCCCAGUGGUUAUCGUUUUUGAAUAUGUCAUGGCAAAAUUUCAGGAUCGGUCGCCGCCAUCUUGUGGAUGAAACAAAAAGACUUGUUGGAUCCUUUAUCAUGUAUUUUAAACGAUACUCGAUGUUGCCAAAUCGGUAACUUAACUGGAUUAAGGUUAAUAGAAAUCAUAAUAAAGAUUUGAACAUUCCAGCGGUUCCAAACCAUCAUGAUAGGAUUUGAGAAACAAUAGAAAGUGAGAACUGCACGGCUAUUCCUGAAAGUCUUAUAAUCCCAAAAUAUCCCGUUCCUUCCCGGUGAACAUGUGGCGCUUAAAGGAAUUCGGUGCUGUAAAUAACAUUGCGCUUCGACUUGCUUCAUUGUACGCUAUUGUCAUCCUCAAUACUUCAUCGAUUAAGUUCUUUUUUUUUGUUUGCUCUUUGACAUAAUUAUAUAUUGAAACGUAACUGAGGUUGCCAACUUGACUAGAUUAAGGAUAAAUUUGAAAACAAAAUCAUAAUAAAAACUCGGUUGUCGUUCUUGUAUUGUUCUUGACAACAAUUAAAUUGCGUGUUGUGUGCCUUCGGUUUUGCCUUAGGAUGCAAAGAGUGGAAGUGAACUUACCUCCAGUGUAUCGAGGAUGAUGUCAUUGUGUGAUCUAUAAUAUCAUGAUACUUUUGCUAUUAUGCGCGUCGGACGGAUCCGACGCAUGUUCAUUCACACUGGACAAGUUUAAAGAUGCAAAUUUUUAUGAUGCACUCAAGGACAUUGUUGGCUGUUUAAAGGCGCAUGCUUACAAAACAAAAUGAAAAUGUAUCAAAUAUCACGUCUGUUUAAUAAUCAAAGCUGGAAAUAGUUAAAUAAUAAUUGUACAUUUAUUUCGUAACUUCUGUUUGUAUAUGCUACAUGUUUCAUACUUUUAUUACUGUAGAAUUUGAUUAAACCUUUCAUAGAGAGGGACCAUAUUUGACUCUCCCACUUGAUAAACACUUUUGUUCUAGCAAUGAUUGAGACACAUUUGAUAACAGUUUUAUAAACGAUAACACACCGAAAAUGCAACCAGUCUCAUAAUAAAAUGUUUUCCAUGUCUACUUAAGAUUUAUUUUACAAUUUCCUUUUUUUAUUUUGUAACCUAUAACCUAAUUAUUUGUUAUCAAAAACAUUUGUCCAAAACAUUUCAAAUGAAAUUAAAAAUGAAUUAUUUACCUUUCAAUUUUUCCCUUUAAUGAAUUUAGAGAAAAAUAAGCUUGAAGUUUGAUAUACUUUUUUCUCGUGUUUUAGGUCACCUGAGACGAAGUCUAUAGCUCAUAAAGAGAAAUCACAUUUUUGAAUAUCAUUUGUUUGAUUUGUAUUGGAAUUCAUUCUAACUUUGUUAACAUUAUCAACAUUGGAUGACAGCUUGAUGGUAUGCAUAUGUUUGCUCUGAUUGACCCCCUGUGCUGAUGGGUGGGGCCAAAAAAAGUAACUUAAAUCAACUUAAAUGUUUCAAAAUUCAGGUGACCGUUAAGGCCCAUGGGCCACUUGUUAAUUUCUGCAAUAUGAUAAAAUACAGGUUUUAACAUUUUAUCUAAAACAUUUUAAAGUUUAAAAUUGAAUAUAACCUGAAGACGAUAUUCUAGCAUAGCUUUUUAUAAGCUACAUUUUUUGCAUUAAAAUAGAGUGAACAUUUAGAUCAAAAUUGCUGCUGAUAUCUUAAAUAGCUGAAUACGGCAAUAGUUUUUUUUGUUUUUUGUUUUGUUUGUUUUUUGUUUGUUACUAAGCCUACAAAUAUAUAAACCUAAAUGUAUUUAGCAAUUUUACAGCCAUUUGUCACUCAUGUAAAUAGACAUGAUGACCUCUGUAGGGGUUUGAUGCAUUUGUUUUACAUGGUGAAAUAAAAAUGUCACUUUAA
This is a long non-coding RNA of Pecten maximus, 2182 nucleotides long. RefSeq lists it as uncharacterized. The transcript is spliced from 2 exons. Lineage: Eukaryota; Metazoa; Mollusca; Bivalvia; Pectinida; Pectinidae. The record is from RefSeq and is a predicted model, not a curated record.